GAUGAAGAACGUAGCGAAAUGCGAUAAGUAGUGUGAAUUGCAGAAUUCAGUGAAUCAUCGAAUCUUUGAACGCACAUUGCGCCCCUUGGUAUUCCAUGGGGCAUGCCUGUUCGAGCGUCAUUUGUACCCUCAAGCUUUGCUUGGUGUUGGGCGUCUUGUCGUAUUACGACUCGCCUUAAAUACAUUGGCAGCCGGCACUUUGGCCUAGGAGCGCAGCACAUUUUGCGAUCGUAGCCCGUUGUACUGGCGUCCAACAAGAACAUUUACCACGUUUGACCUCGGAUCAGGUAGGGAUACCCGCUGAACUUAAGCAUAUCAAUAAGCGGAGGA
Molecule: unclassified non-coding RNA, 330 nt
Filed under: soil metagenome
Description: partial contains 5.8S ribosomal RNA, internal transcribed spacer 2, and large subunit ribosomal RNA
Rfam family: 5.8S ribosomal RNA (bases 1-120)
Source: RNAcentral